CCGAACCCACGCAUGUUGCAAAAUGCGGGGAUGAGCUGUGGAUAGGGGUGAAAGGCUAAACAAACUCGGAGAUAGCUGGUUCUCCCCGAAAACUAUUUAGGUAGUGCCUCGAGCAAGACACUGAUGGGGGUAAAGCACUGUUAUGGCUAGGGGGUUAUUGCAACUUACCAACCCAUGGCAAACUAAGAAUACCAUCAAGUGGUUCCUCGGGAGACAGACAGCGGGUGCUAACGUCCGUUGUCAAGAGGGAAACAACCCAGACCGCCAGCUAAGGUCCCAAAUGAUAGAUUAAGUGGUAAACGAAGUGGGAAGGCCCAGACAGCCAGGAUGUUGGCUUAGAAGCAGCCAUCAUUUAAAGAAAGCGUAAUAGCUCACUGGUCGAGUCGUCCUGCGCGGAAGAUGUAACGGGGCUCAAAUCUAUAACCGAAGCUGCGGAUGUAGCGAUAAAGCGGGUGAAAAGCCCGCUCGCCGAAAGCCCAAGGUUUCCUACGCAACGUUCAUCGGCGUAGGGUGAGUCGGCCCCUAAGGCGAGGCAGAAAUGCGUAGUCGAUGGGAAACAGGUUAAUAUUCCUGUACUUGAUUCAAAUGCGAUGUGGGGACGGAGAAGGUUAGGUUAGCAAGCUGUUGGAAUAGCUUGUUUAAGCCGGUAGGUGGAAGACUUAGGCAAAUCCGGGUCUUCUUAACACCGAGAAGUGAUGACGAGUGUCUACGGACAUGAAGUAACCGAGGAGAAGGAACUCGGCAAAUUGAUACCGUAACUUCGGGAGAAGGUAUGCCCUCUAAGGUUAAGGACUUGCUCCGUAAGCCCUGGAGGGUCGCAGAGAAUAGGUGGCUGCGACUGUUUAUUAAAAACACAGCACUCUGCUAACACGAAAGUGGACGUAUAGGGUGUGACGCCUGCCCGGUGCUGGAAGGUUAAUUGAAGAUGUGCAAGCAUCGGAUCGAAGCCCCAGUAAACGGCGGCCGUAACUAUAACGGUCCUAAGGUAGCGAAAUUCCUUGUCGGGUAAGUUCCGACCCGCACGAAUGGCGUAACGAUGGCCACACUGUCUCCUCCUGAGACUCAGCGAAGUUGAAGUGGUUGUGAAGAUGCAAUCUACCCGCUGCUAGACGGAAAGACCCCGUGAACCUUUACUGUAGCUUUGCAUUGGACUUUGAAGUCACUUGUGUAGGAUAGGUGGGAGGCUUUGAAGCAGAGACGCUAGUCUCUGUGGAGCCGUCCUUGAAAUACCACCCUGGUGUCUUUGAGGUUCUAACCCAGACCCGUAAUCCGGGUCGGGGACCGUGCAUGGUAGGCAGUUUGACUGGGGCGGUCUCCUCCCAAAGAGUAACGGAGGAGUUCGAAGGUUACCUAGGUCCGGUCGGAAAUCGGACUGAUAGUGCAAUGGCAAAAGGUAGCUUAACUGCGAGACCGACAAGUCGAGCAGGUGCGAAAGCAGGACAUAGUGAUCCGGUGGUUCUGUAUGGAAGGGCCAUCGCUCAACGGAUAAAAGGUACUCCGGGGAUAACAGGCUGAUUCCGCCCAAGAGUUCAUAUCGACGGCGGAGUUUGGCACCUCGAUGUCGGCUCAUCACAUCCUGGGGCUGUAGUCGGUCCCAAGGGUAUGGCUGUUCGCCAUUUAAAGUGGUACGUGAGCUGGGUUUAAAACGUCGUGAGACAGUUUGGUCCCUAUCUGCAGUGGGCGUUGGAAGUUUGACGGGGGCUGCUCCUAGUACGAGAGGACCGGAGUGGACGAACCUCUGGUGUACCGGUUGU
RNAcentral lists this ribosomal RNA (1754 nucleotides) under human oral metagenome. Its description in RNAcentral is "bacterial LSU rRNA". It matches the Rfam family "Bacterial large subunit ribosomal RNA", at positions 774 to 2724 of the family's 2925-position model. The record is from RNAcentral.